RNAcentral lists this ribosomal RNA (253 nucleotides) under uncultured bacterium. Its description in RNAcentral is "partial 16S ribosomal RNA". It matches the Rfam family "Bacterial small subunit ribosomal RNA", at positions 524 to 776 of the family's 1533-position model. The record is from RNAcentral.
UACAGAGGUCCCAAGCGUUGUUCGGAUUCACUGGGCGUAAAGGGUGCGUAGGCGGCGUGGCAAGUCUGAUGUGAAAUCCCGGGGCUCAACCCCGGAACUGCAUUGGAUACUGCUAUGCUAGAGUACUGGAGAGGAGAUUGGAAUUUACGGUGUAGCAGUGAAAUGCGUAGAUAUCGUAAGGAAGACCAGUGGCGAAGGCGAAUCUCUGGACAGUUACUGACGCUGAGGCACGAAGGCCAGGGGAGCAAACGGG